This 419-nucleotide ribosomal RNA is filed under the name uncultured eukaryote. RNAcentral describes it as "SSU rRNA". It matches the Rfam family "Eukaryotic small subunit ribosomal RNA", at positions 567 to 990 of the family's 1831-position model. The record is from RNAcentral.
CCAGCAGCUGCGGUAAUUCCUGCUCCAAUAGCGUAUAUUUAAGUUGCUGCAGUUAAAAAGCUCGUAGUUGGAUUUCGGGUGGGGCCUGCCGGUCCGCCGUUUCGGUGUGCACUGGCCGGGCCCACCUUGCUGCCGGGGACGUGUUCCUGGGCUUCACUGUCCGGGACACGGAGUCGGCGAGGUUACUUUGAGUAAAUUAGAGUGUUCAAAGCAGGCCUACGCUCUGAAUACAUUAGCAUGGAAUAAUGGAAUAGGACUUUGGUGCUAUUUUGUUGGUUUAUGGGACCGAAGUAAUGAUUAACAGGGACAGUUGGGGCCGUUUAUAUUUCGUUGUCAGAGGUGAAAUUCUUGGAUUUACGAAAGAUAAACUUCUGCGAAAGCAUUCGGCAAGGAUGUUUUCAUUGAUCAAGAACGAAAGU